Molecule: ribosomal RNA, 405 nt
Filed under: Triticum aestivum (bread wheat)
Lineage: Eukaryota; Viridiplantae; Streptophyta; Magnoliopsida; Poales; Poaceae
Description: partial small subunit ribosomal RNA
Source: RNAcentral
CAGCGACGGGGCUGGCCAAAUGGCUAUUUCUGCCAGCUCUGUCACCGGAGCCUUGAAACAAGCAAGCACAUUAUCUGGGAAUGCCCCGAGGCAUGGAGAGUGUGGCAACAGGUGGCAUCAUGGCACGGCUGCUCCACCUUCACGCCGACGGACGAGUGGAGCCAUAAGAAGCCAUUGGCGAUUAUCAGAGAAAUUAUCAACAGGGCAACGCCAAGGGAGCGCAAAGGAGCAAAAACCAUGCUCCUUGCAACAUGUUGCGAGAUUUGGCAGGAGCGGAAUAGAUGCACUUUCCAAAACAAGAUAGCCUCCACCUCUGACAUUGUGAGAGAAUUGAGAAAUUCAUUGGAGCUUUGGAGACUCGCGGGAGCCAACUGCAUUGAGAGCCCCUUCGGGGAACCACCGUGA